UUUAAGUUAAUAAGGGAAAUAUUAAAUAUUCACUCAUUCUCGCCUGUCUGUACAUUUCUCUCUUUCUCUGUCUACCUACUCUCUGUCUCUCUCUCUCUGCUUUUUGAUUGGCUAUUAGGAACGUGCGCGAUCUCCUAGGCAUGCUGCUAGGUGACGAAUGUGUGGCUCAGCUUAUUAUUGCUUAUAUUGACGUGUGUUAAUUACUUCGCGAAUUCUGUGCUCUCUGUGGUGACUUAUUUCGGUUUGGAGAUUUGAUUUCUGAUGAACAAUGCUUGACUACCGAUGAUUAUUGUGGCGGUGAACGCAGAAUUCCGAAAAAAAGAUGAACAAUGCCUGGCUAAUAC
Molecule: long non-coding RNA, 344 nt
Organism: Planococcus citri (citrus mealybug)
Lineage: Eukaryota; Metazoa; Arthropoda; Insecta; Hemiptera; Pseudococcidae
Exons: 3
Source: RefSeq, a predicted model, not a curated record